Molecule: unclassified non-coding RNA, 295 nt
Filed under: Hevea brasiliensis (rubber tree)
Lineage: Eukaryota; Viridiplantae; Streptophyta; Magnoliopsida; Malpighiales; Euphorbiaceae
Source: RNAcentral
GCCAUGCAGUGUAUGCUGUUGUGAUUCAAAAUUUAUUUUGCAUUAGUAAUUGAAGGAUCAAGUAAUGAGUUACCAAAAAACAGUUGCCAUGCCGUCUCUUUUGUUCCUCAAAUUCCACUUUUUGAAUAACAAAACUAAUAUGAUAAAUUCAUAAAAUUUCUCAAGCACUAUUUUUUAUUGCUAACCGUUGGUGCACUUUCUUUUAGAUAUUUCUUCUUCAGUCAGUUUAAAAAUGACAAAGCGUGUCUGCUAAAAAUAUUUCUGGAUAUAGCGCCAAUAUUAACGUAAAAGGAAA